GAAUCCAAAAGUCAGAAUUCAGUUAGUAUGAAAAUCUAUGUCUUAAAAUGAAGGCUGUAAAAAGAAGAGGCAAUUUGGAAGUCUACUUUAAAUAUGAGAUCUUAAAUCACUGUAUUUUAUAAAAGGCUACUUCCUUGCAUCAGCCUCGCUCUUUCUUCAAAAUGUUUCACUUAAUGGAUGAAGAUUAUACUCUACACUUUCUGCAGAUGGUCUGGGACCUGUCUGUAUCAGCUGGUGGAUAGGUCCUUAAGUUUUCAGUGAGAAGGCUAUAAAUAGCCAUGGUUGAUAGGUAUUGGAAGGUGUCUCUACAUCAACCCAAAAGUGGACUUUCUUCUGCAUGAUGGAGAUCUCUGUGUAUGUUUAUGCAUCAGUAUUAUCAGCCUAAGUGUGGGAAGGCAGUAAAGGUAACCUAAAAUUUAUGCUGUUAUAAAGGAAAAGUGUGUCUCUGCUAAAAAGUCUCAUUCCUUCUUUUGCUCUUUCAGCUGUGUCCUGAAGUGCAGUCCUGUCUGUCUAUAAUAAAGCAGGUUACCUUUGAGGUUUGCA
Molecule: long non-coding RNA, 543 nt
Filed under: Coturnix japonica (Japanese quail)
Lineage: Eukaryota; Metazoa; Chordata; Aves; Galliformes; Phasianidae
Description: lncRNA (ENSCJPG00005013382.1)
Source: RNAcentral